This is a non-coding RNA of Erythranthe guttata (spotted monkey flower), 119 nucleotides long. The record is from Rfam. Lineage: Eukaryota; Viridiplantae; Streptophyta; Magnoliopsida; Lamiales; Phrymaceae.
GGGUGCGAUCAUACCAGCACUAAUGCACCGGAUCCCAUCAGAACUCCGAAGUUGAGCGUGCUUGGGCGAGAGUAGUACUAGGAUGGGUGACCCCCUGGGAAGUCCUCGUGUUGCACCCC